This 482-nucleotide ribosomal RNA is filed under the name uncultured bacterium. RNAcentral describes it as "partial 16S ribosomal RNA". It matches the Rfam family "Bacterial small subunit ribosomal RNA", at positions 28 to 523 of the family's 1533-position model. The record is from RNAcentral.
GACGAACGCUGGCGGCGUGCUUAACACAUGCAAGUCGAACGAUGAACCCGGAGCUUGCUCCGGUGGAUUAGUGGCGAACGGGUGAGUAACACGUGAGUAACCUGCCCUUGACUCUGGGAUAACUGCGGGAAACUGUAGCUAAUACCGGAUACGACCCUCGGCGGCAUCGCCAGGGGGCGGAGAGAAUUUCGGUCAAGGAUGGACUCGCGGCCUAUCAGCGAGUUGGUGAGGCAACGGCUCACCAAGGCGACGACGGGUAGCCGGCCUGAGAGGGUGACCGGCCACACUGGUACUGAGACACGGCGCAGACUGAGACGGGAGGCAGCAGUGGGGAAUAUUGGACAAUGGGCGCAAGCCUGAUGCAGCAACGCCGCGUGGGGGAUGACGGCCUUCGGGUUGUAAACCUCUUUUAGUAGGGAAGAAGCGAAAGUGACGGUACCUGCAGAAAGCCACGGCUAACUACGUGCCAGCCGCCGCCGUAA